Molecule: long non-coding RNA, 2631 nt
Organism: Sapajus apella (tufted capuchin)
Lineage: Eukaryota; Metazoa; Chordata; Mammalia; Primates; Cebidae
Exons: 2
Source: RefSeq, a predicted model, not a curated record
CGGAUCAGUAGGGGGUGUAUCUAAGGGAGGUGGGGGUGUGUCAGACCUCCCUGACCCACGCCGCCCCUCCCCUCCCUCUACCCCCUCUCCGCCCCCUCCCAGGAAGGGCGGGCCUCCCUUCCCCAAGCCUGCCCACCUUCUGCCCCGGCCCACCACAGUUGUGUGAAAACAGGAACCCUCCACCCCCCAAAUCUUCAGAACCACAUCUCCUCCCCAACACAGCUCAUGACCCUCAAAGACCCCCUGGCCAAGGUGAGAGAAUGACUACCCCUCUUGUCACAUUCCAAACCAAGUCUCAGUGGCCACCCUCCUGCCAUUUGCAAAUGUUUCCUGUCUGCCUUCUUUGUGUCUCUCUCCCCUUCACUAAUGAGGACUCUCCCCAUUCUCCUACAUGCCCUUUCCCAACCUUCCCACCCCACUCACCUCGUCCUCAUCCAGCAUGAGCAGCUGGUUCCCCGAGAUGAUGCAGAACCGAGGGUUCCAACCAGGACGAUCAUACGGAGAAUGAACGUAUUGGGUUCGGUGCAUAGAGGGUCCCCGUACAUCUGGGGGACAGAGACACACAGAAACAGUAAGGGAGACUGCAUUUGGACACAGAGGCCUAAAAUGGCAAGAAGAGAGUCUACAAAGUGAAAAGGGGACCCCACCGGCCUUGAGGAGAUCACAGUUGAAAGUGAAGCACCUGGCAACUCUAAAGGAACACAAGACAAGUGUUUAUACAUGGGGAAAAGAGGAGAGGAUCACAUCACAGAAGGCUCUGGAGACUUGGGGGAAGAAAUGCAGAGGUUCAGGGAUGGGAAUUAUAUGACAGAGAAGGUACAUGUUUUGGAGCAGAGAAAGAUGAAAGAGCUCUCCAUCUACUUCAGAAAAAUAACAUGGAGGUGCUGCAGAACUGGCAGGAGAAAAACACAGAGAGGUUGGUGUCAGAUAUCUGGGUAAAGGAAAGCAUCCAAAUAGCUGCAGAAGACAAGGACUUGGAGGUGGCACCAACCCUCUGUAAAGAGUAUGAGGAAAGCCACACAGCUGUGGGAAAGAAGGAUGGGCCGUGUGUGUGUGUGUGUGUGUAGGAACAUUGCGAUCAUGAGAUUCUGAGGGCUAAAUAUCUAGAAAAGAGAGGAAGUGGGGGAGCUUACCUGUUCACAGAGUCAGAGACAUGAGAGGGCCUCCCCUCCCACCUCUCCUUCCUCCUCUGUGCCCUCCUCCCCUAGUUCAACCCUGUUCAUCCUUUGGGGAAAGUUCUGGUUCUUCUGGUGGUAAGGAGAAGAUGGCUUUUGUCGGCAUCUGGCUGUGGAGGGGCCAGGGCAGAAGGUGGGAAAUAUGCCUUUGUUUGGACGAGUAGAGACCAAAUUGAUUUCUUCUCCCAUUCAGUGCCCAGAGAGUCAACACUGCCCCCACCACUGUACCCCACCUAGUCUCAAUGGACAGGAUGGAAGCCCCUCCACAGGUUAGGAGCCUUCCCAAGGCACAGUGAGGAGCCUGAGGAAGAAAGGGGUCAGGGGAAAGAAUGGAAUAUCCAGGCCUGGUGGCACAGAGGGGCCUCCAAAGAUGACAGGUGGAGAUGGGAACAAAACUUUUAGAAGAGAGAAUAGUAGACCAAGUGUCACCCAUGGCUGAGAUGACCUCAGGGUCCUCCUUCCCCAGCUCUGCUGUUCUUCUUUACCAUGCCCCUCUCCCUGCAAACUGCCUCUCCUUUAAACCCCAAUGCCACACAGGCCCUAUUGAAGUAAGACAGAUGUCACAUUGGUGACAUCAAAGAGAUAGAAAUUAGGCUUAAGGUAUCAGAGAGAUUUUAGAGGGAAAAAAAAUCAAACUCUGUCACCUUUAUGAGAUAACUAACCAUGAUUAUAUUGCAGGAGAACUGGUCUUUGAGCUUUAUUCCAACAGAAUGCCCUGAGUAAGAGAGUUUUGAAAAUUCAGCCCUUUUCUGUCUAUAAAUGUCUCUCAAAUUUAUGCAACCUCCAGAUCACAGUGAGCGAUGAGCCCUCAGAAUGUCCACCAUCUAGAAAUCACAAUACUUUGAAACUCUAUCUCAUCUCAGAGACUAACUAAUGUUCAGAGAUCACCGAUACCUAGCCUCAGACUGCAGACAUUGUAGGCAACAUGCCCACCACACUUAGACACUUGGUACACCCAGAGGAGAAAUCUGUCGAUACACAUCAGCAAUUUGGGAAAGGACUGGUUCAGGCUGCAGCCAAAGGAGGCAGGUUAGACUUCAGAGGACAUCUUUCUCCUGGGAGCGGGGAACUUAGCUUAGGAACAACUCUAGAAACACACACACACACACACACACAUACACACACACAAAUACCGUCUGGACUUGGUAAAGAAUGAUUCUGGGAGGCAGAUGCAAGAGGCUGAGGAACAUGGCUAAGAAAGAUGGAAAUUUUACUAGGAUGAGAAAUCCCGCAAGGGCUGAAAUGGGGAACCCUUAUUCUAACCAUCAAAACCUGUGUAUUUGUACCCCAAAUCUCCAACACCCCAAUAAGUAGAGAUGACAAGAAAAGAAUGGUAAUAAGAGUUGAGGUAUUAAGGGAAAGUGGGUAGGCACAGACUUGUGUUGACAAGGAGUGGGGAAGGAAAUAUAGAAUGGCCUGGGGGACAUAUAAUAGGAAUGGAUAUAAAAGAAAAAGA